RNAcentral lists this ribosomal RNA (264 nucleotides) under uncultured archaeon. RNAcentral's name for it is "partial 16S ribosomal RNA". It matches the Rfam family "Archaeal small subunit ribosomal RNA", at positions 718 to 982 of the family's 1478-position model. The record is from RNAcentral.
AGUCACUGACAUUAGAUACCCCUGUAGUCCCAGCCGUAAACUAUGCGCGUUAGGUGUAUCGGUGACCACGAGUUACCGAGGUGCCGAAGGGAAACCGUGAAACGUGCCGCCUGGGAAGUACGGUCGCAAGGCUGAAACUUAAAGGAAUUGGCGGGGAGCACCACAACAGGUGGAGCCUGCGGUUUAAUUGGAUUCAACGCCGGACAUCUCACCGGAUAAGACAGCUGAAUGAUUGUCAAUCUGAAGGUUUUACAUGACUAGCUG